UUGAAUCAUUAUUUAUUUAUUUGUCCAACCAGUUCCAUUCAUUUUUAGAUUUAUGCAAGGUCAGAGGGCUUUUCCUCUUUUCUUCGCUCGAACAGCUCCCUAUAGUCGCUGCGCCAUCGUCCGCUCCAGCCUCCAAUGUCGACGUCGAUCUUCCGUGAAGCUCCAAUCUACUAUGGCGCCGUCGAUCGCGUGCUGUUCGCCUGCAGGUGUGGAGCUUCAGAUCUCGUGCAGCGCCGUCGUCCACUCGUACUGAGGCUCCAUUCUUCAGCCAAGUCACUGCUGUCUCCUCCUCAGAAGCUGUCUUGCUGUUGGCCAUUGCUAUCUACAGCUCGUUCGAUUGUAGGUUUGUUCCAGUUGAAAUGUUUUGGCUACCUCCAAUUUAGUUUACUAUUUUGCAGGGAGCAUUAGGGCUCUGCUUUAGGAUCUGAUCUGAUUUUCUGUGAAAAUAGCUUAUUGAUGAUUUUCUAGUGAUUUGAAUGCUAUUCAUGCACUAAGAUUAUUCUGCCCAUCCCUCUGCGGAAUCGGAACAUCUUAUGUACAAUUAGAAUUAGAAUGUGGAACCCAGAGAACUUAACGUGUUCUGUUGUAUAGCUGAGAUAUGGGUACACUGACGUACGCAACGAGCAAGAGCCUUGCAAGAGAUUAUUGGUUGAGAGGUUGAAGGAAUUCAUUUUUGGAGAGGGUUGGUGUCACAGAGAAUAUUGAUAUAGAAUGGUGAAACUGAGGUUGAAGAUGGAGUCCAAGAGUCUCGUAGUGAAGAGAGACCGCAAGAGGUUGUUAAAAGAGAGAUUGAGGCCGUUGAGAGAGUGAUGAGAGAUAGUGUUGUUCACUUGAUUGGUGAGAGCGAGGUGGUUGCUUACAACUUUCUGAAGAAAAACUUGAGACAGAGUGACAAAGUGUUCAAUAUUCCUCAUAAGUGUUUGGUCAAGCAAUUGGGUUUAAUGUCGAAACAGUACUGCAAUAUAACAACAAUAAAUUUUGAUUUUGGAAUUUAGGACUUUAAGGAGUUUUAUUGAUGAGCAACACACAAGAUUUGCUGAAAUUUCCAAAGUAGCAAAGAUAAAAGUUGCUGCAGCUAAGGAAAAGGUAGCGACUUAUGAGGUUGUGCAUCUUUUGUCGAUGUAUUAUACUUUUUUUAAAAUUGCCUAAAUAAUUUGUGGAUUUAUUUUAUCUGGAGGAAAGAAGUCUUAAGCAAAACAAUGAGGCAAGAGCCAGGUUCCUAAAAGUAAGAUGUGUUUCUUUAGAUUUUCUGUUCAGACCAUUUUGCAAAGUUCAUGGCCACCCGAAGAUCUCAUUCUUCCAUCUUUUGUCGAAGUUUGGGUAGGGGUCUAUGGUUCCCGCAUUUUAAAAAUCAUCUUAGUUACUAUUUGUAUGACUACUUUUUUAUUGCACGCUUUUGUCUUUUUUAUAUACUUUACUUUCCCUUUCAUCAUUCUUUUAAUAUACAGUUCAUUUUCCAUGUUCUUUACAUGAGUAUCUUUGAUUGAAAUGUUAAUGCGAAAUGAUAGAUUACUCCUGGUGAUAAAUGCAUUCCUGUUGUAUAUGGUAUUAGUAUCUAGCUCUCUUUGCUAAAAAGUAUUAAUAUGAUUUGUUUGCUUGUGCAUGCAAAACUGUAACUAAACUUUGGGUUAAUCCAGGGCUACCUUUCACUGAUGUCGUAAUAUCUAUCCUUUUGUUAGAAAAAUCUGGGAGUCUGAACGUUGUUGUGGAUAGAUUUUUUCCUUUCCUAGCUGUUCUAGGUUGUAUGUAUACUAUCUUUUCAUUUUGCUUUCCUGGCUUCCAGCAUUGCUGCCUGCAAUAAGAGGGAACAAGUGAAUUUGUUGUAUUUAUGGCUGAUAUUUUGAUUUGCUCAUGCUGAUAUUUCUUUUGGUUCAGAUUUUGGAGGAGCUAAAUCUUAGCAUGGAGUAAUUCAUUGACUUGCGCAUAUAUUCUUUCUGGGUGUGAUUACUGUGAUAGUAUUCAUAAUUAAUAUCACAUUUAUAAUUUAACUAAAUUAUUUUUAUUUAUUUUUUUUGCAAACAGAAUGUGAAUGAAUACUCUACAAUCAAAUAAGAAUAGUGUUAGAUGUAUUUGUACCAUGUA
Long non-coding RNA from Prosopis cineraria, 2082 nucleotides. RefSeq lists it as uncharacterized. The record is from RefSeq and is a predicted model, not a curated record. Lineage: Eukaryota; Viridiplantae; Streptophyta; Magnoliopsida; Fabales; Fabaceae. The transcript is spliced from 3 exons.